UACGGAGGGUGCGAGCGUUGUCCGGAAUCACUGGGCGUAAAGGGCGCGUAGGCGGCGCGGGCAGUCAACGGUGAAAGCUCGGAGCUCAACUCCGAGUCGGCCGUCGAUACUCCCGUGCUUGAGCACUGUAGAGGCAGGUGGAAUUCCGGGUGUAGCGGUGGAAUGCGUAGAGAUCCGGAAGAACACCGGUGGCGAAGGCGGCCUGCUGGGCAGUAGCUGACGCUGAGGCGCGACAGCGUGGGGAGCAAACAGG
Molecule: ribosomal RNA, 253 nt
Filed under: uncultured bacterium
Lineage: Bacteria
Also listed under: 1 other name
Description: partial 16S ribosomal RNA
Rfam family: Bacterial small subunit ribosomal RNA
Source: RNAcentral